Theobroma cacao (cacao) is the source of this 3349-nucleotide non-coding RNA. The record is from RefSeq and is a predicted model, not a curated record. Lineage: Eukaryota; Viridiplantae; Streptophyta; Magnoliopsida; Malvales; Malvaceae.
AAUCCCGUGUAGGUUAGAGAGAGAGGGAGAGAGGGAGAAUGCUGAGCGAGAAACGAAGAGAGAGAGAGAGAGAGGGAGAAGAGGAGCAGGAACAUAAAAAUUUCCAUCUUUCGCCCCAAGUAUCCGUACAUUUACUGUUUUGCCAUCCAUCCUUGGAAAUUUCCUCUCUUUAAACUCCUUAUUCCCGAAUCGAGGUGGGAUUUAUUUUUGUUCCUUUAAUGAGUCGUUUAGGGUUUAAAUCGGUGGUUUAUCACGGAGACGUUUGUUUGGGAGAACUGGACACUAUCCCUGUCUCGGACAGGAAUUUCCAGUUCCCAAACAACGAAAUUCGAAUCCACCACAUCUCCCCACCCAGCGAACGAUGCAUUCCUCUUUCCGUUCUCCACACCGUUUCCUCAUUCCCCGUUCGUUGCAAGCUCGAAUCCUCUUCCCCUGUCGAACAACCGCAUUUGAUUCACCUCCACGCCUCUUGCUUUUACGAAUUGAAGACGGCGGUGGUUUUGGUUGGAGAUGAGGAGGUUCACUUAGUGCCAAUGCCGAGUAAACAAAAGAAGUUUCCGUGCUUUUGGUGCUUUUCGGUUCCUACAGGACUGUACAAUUCCUGCUUAGGAAUGCUUAAUUUAAGGUGCCUAGCGAUUGUUUUUGAUCUCGACGAAACGCUGAUUGUCGCGAACACAAUGAAGUCGUUUGAGGAUAGAAUCGAAGCUCUUAGGGGUUGGCUUGCGCGGGAGACUGAUACGAUUCGGCAUUCGGGGAUGUCGGCUGAAUUAAGAAGGUAUAUAGAUGACCGGAUGCUGUUGAAGCAGUACACGGAGAGUGAUUGCGUCGUGGAUAAUGGAAAAAUGUUUAAGGUUCAAAUGGAAGAGGUUCCUCCUUUGUCUGAUGGCCAUGAGAAAGUUGUUCGGCCUGUGAUUAGGUUGCAGGAGAGGAAUAUUGUUCUUACUCGUAUCAAUCCUGAGAUUCGUGAUACCAGUGUGCUUGUGAGGUUACGUCCUGCAUGGGAGGAAUUGCGAAGUUAUUUGACUGCAAAAGGACGAAAACGCUUUGAAGUUUAUGUUUGUACCAUGGCUGAAAGAGAUUAUGCCCUAGAGAUGUGGAGGCUUCUUGAUCCAGAGGCACACCUGAUAGGCACAAAGCAACUCCUGGACCGUGUUGUUUGUGUUAAAUCCGGUUCUAGGAAAUCUUUGCUAAAUGUGUUCCGAGAUGGCAAGUGCCAUCCACAGAUGGCAAUGGUAAUUGAUGACCGUUCAAAGGUCUGGGAGGAUAAGGAUCAACCUCGAGUUCACGUAGUUCCUCCUUUUGCUCCGUAUUAUGCUCCUCAGGCAGAGACAGCAAAUGCAGUUCCUGUUCUCUGUGUAGCAAGAAAUGUUGCAUGCAAUGUCAGGGGUUUGUUUUUCAAAGAGUUUGAUGAGAAUGUAAUAAGGAAAAUAUCUGAAGUUUUUUAUGAAGAUGAGGUGGUAAACCUGCCUCUUGCUCCCGAUGUGAGCAAUCACUUGAUGUUAGAGGAUGCUGGUUUUGCUCCAAACGGGAAUGGUGGUGCGCCUAUCAGUGAAGGAAUGAAUGGAGUUGAAGUUGAGCGGAGACUGAAUCAAUUGUUCCUUCAGGAGGAGAAGCAUGUUUCGGACUCUUCCAUGCAUCUAGUAAUGAAUAACCCUGAGUUGAGGUCUGAAACCUCUCAGCCACCUGCUGCAAUUGUUCCCAAUGUUGUUGGUCCUGCAUCUUUGACAGCACCAUUGCCUUCUCAGAAACCUAGUUUGCUUGGAGCUCCUGGUCUGCUUUCAGCUCCCACCUUACUUGGAGCUUCUGUAAGAAGAGAGAGCAACACUAUUGAUAGUGAUUAUGACAUGAAGAGAAGAGCCCUUGGCUCAAAACAGACUUUAGACUUAAGGAACCAGAGCUCAGUCCAACCUCCACUCCUAUCUAAAGUACCUGCACAGAUAUAUUCAUCAUCAAUACUGCCUCAGGGAGGUUGGUUGGUGGAAGAAGACAACAAUAAAGCACAUCUAAAUGAUCGAUCAUCAGGCUCUGCUCAAGAAUCUGAUGCAACAAAAUCUGAUAAACUGCGAAAUCAGAAUCCAUUUUCUCAUAGUGCACCAGGUUCUGUUUCCAUUGGCUUACCAUCACAUGCAUCCCAACUGAAAGUUGAAGAGGCACGUGCUGGACUUGAUACUCAAAAACAGAAUGUUCUGCCUGCAGGUCAUUUAUCAGAGAUUGGCGGAACUCAGAAUCAUGUGUCUUCCACUGAAGGUGGAAAAUUGAAUCUUCUACCCUCCCAUUUAUCAAUAAGUGUUCUACAAGAAAUUGGACGAAGAUGUGGUUCGAAGGUUGAGUUCAGGACUGUGGUAAGCACGAGUAAGGAUUUGCAAUUUUCUGUUGAGGUUUUAUUCACCGGUGAGAAGAUUGGUGUUGGAAUGGGCAAGACAAGGAAGGAUGCUCAGCAACAAGCUGCUGAGCUUGCUCUUCAUAACCUGGCAGAAAAAUAUUUAGCAUAUAUAGCACCUCGUUCAGGAGCUGUGGAUAGAGAUUUCAAUAAACUUUCUCUUGGAACUGAAAAUGGAUUUCUGUGGGACGUGAAUCCUGCAUCAAGUGAAGCACUUAGAGAAGAUGGGUUGCCUAAAGAUAGUACUUCUGAGGUGGGGAUUCCUGAUGAUGCUUUCAGUACUUGAUUUGAUUUCUUUGUUUAAAAAAGGUGAUGCUUGGAUAAAGGGUAUGUGGGCAAGAAAUUUCCAGAUUAGAGGUAGUGGUUAUCUGGAGAGAAACCACUCCUCUUUGGAUUUUGCAUUGUACCAAGAUGUGAGAGCUAUAACACUGAAAGGAGAGUGAGUUGGCUUCAUGUCUGCUACUGCUGCCUUAACUGGCUCAAUUUAUCGUUUUUAAGAGGUUGCUGAAGUUGAACCUGGGAGUAAUUCAUCUAGCCUUGUAAAUCAACCAGUGCAAAAGCGUGCCAAUUCACCAAGAUCGUCUGAAUCCAUGCCAAGCAAACGAUCAAAGGAAGAAGUUCUGCGUCGAUUACGAAGUCUAUCAUCCUCACGGCAACCGAAAAAUGAGCAUCCGAUUUCAUGAAAAGCCAUGAGAAAUCGGAAGUAAUGAUUUUGGACAGAAGGUUUCGAGACUACACAUAAUUUUAUUAGCAUAGCAGAUGUGCAGAUUCCAAUCUUCUUUUCCAGGGUUGGAGUUAACUAAUGCUGGGGUGAAUAGUUUCUCUUCCUUCCCUUUUACUUCUCCUCUGGAUAUAUGGGCAAUUUAUUUUUUUUUGUCAUUUUGCCCUGUUAUUUACUGCUUUGUAAUCGGUCAUCUUAGCUUAUAAAAUAUCUCUAUAUAAAUGAUCAAGACUAGUUUCUUAACCUGA